Molecule: long non-coding RNA, 8243 nt
Organism: Salvia splendens (bonfire salvia)
Lineage: Eukaryota; Viridiplantae; Streptophyta; Magnoliopsida; Lamiales; Lamiaceae
Exons: 34
Source: RefSeq, a predicted model, not a curated record
UCCUUCCCUUCCUCCUUUAAGUUCCUCUGUAGAAGUAGAAGUAGAAAUAGAAAUAGAAAUAGAAAUAGAAAUAGAAAUAGAAAUAGAAAUAGAAAUAGAAAUAGAAAUUGAAAUUGAAAUUGAAAUGGAAACUCAGCACGAGGCACGGAUCUUCUCCAUCUGCAGAGAAUGAAAGACGUGGGAUAUGGCUCAUCAGCAAUUACUUAUAACAACAUCAUGGUCCUGUACAAGAAAGUAGGUCAACUUGAGAAAAUCCCUGAGAGAAUCUCAGAAAUAAAGAAGAAUGGUGUAGCGAAUAGGCUUGAGUUCUUUUGGUGAGAGAUCUGAUCUCAGUGGCAUGGAGAAGCUUCUGGAUAAGAUGGAGUCACUAAUUGACAUUUUCUUUGAUUGGCGUCCAUAUUCUAUGGCUGCAUUUCAGUUCAUAAAAGCAGACAAGAAGGUGAGAGCGCUUGCUUAAAUGAAGAAGGUGGAACAGAAGCUUGACAAAGAUGCUGUCACUUGAUAUGCCCAUCUAGGGCAAAAAGAUGAAAUGAUGAGGUUGUGGGCUUUACAGAAAUUUGCUACAUCACCAAGUUGGGUUCUCUGGUAAAGCUUAGAGAGCUUGAAGAAGCCAAGGCUAUGCUAGAAGACUAGAAUUCUACUUGCCACACUUACGACUUCAGAGUGCCGAACAUACUCCUGAUCAGCUACUUUCAAAAGGGUCUCCCCGAUAAAUCCGAGGCACUGCUUCGAGAUAUUAUCAAAAGGAGAGAAAUACCGACUUUCCUUCACAAGGACCAUUGAAGUUCCACAGCCUCUUCUUCUCAUCCGAUGUUCAGUUCUUCUUUCAAAAAGUGCUUCUGGAGCACUCUUAUCAGCCGCAUGACACGAUUCUUGAGAACCAGAAGCCAAAAAGAGUUGUGAAGCAGUUGAUCAUGCUAAGAGAUUGAAGGAGGAUUUAAUGCUUUUGCUGAGAGGGUUAUCAUGUUGUCCAUGUGGAUUCUUUGUGGUUUAUGGACAUGGCGCUGGUUGCAUUACCUGAGAAUAGAGAGAAUGGCAGGCCCUGUAUUGCUUUCUGUCAAUCCAUUUAAAAAUGUCCGGUUAUAUGGGGAUGAUGCAGCAUACCAUGCAAUGGUAGCAGAGCUGAAGUGGAUCAGAUCGGAUAUGACAUUAUGCAACAGAGAUGUGGGUGUGCCUGCAUUUGGAAGUACCACUACCUGACAUCACAUGAUAUCUCAUCUUCUUAUGAGAGCUUGCUAUGGGGAAUGCGGUUUGAUUUUUCGUCUCCGCAAAAAGGUGUUGAAGAUUUGAGUUUCAACUUUCGACAACCUGACAUCACAUGAUAUCUCAUCUUCUUGUGAGAUAUUGAUUGUAGUCAGCCAACACUAGGGCAGAAAGUGAAAAAAGAAACAUGGAAGGGGUAGAAAAAGAGCAAAUGGACAGAAAAAAGGAAAAAAAAAAAAGAAAAAGAAGAAGAAAAAAAGAGAAAGCAGAUCUGUGGAAAAAAAGGAAAAAAAAUUGGUGUCACAGAUCUAGAAAAAAAAAUAGGUCCAAGAAAAUGUGAAGAAAAAAAUAGCCCGAAUAAGCUGUGGAAUACUACGUUAUCCCCGUGUUUGAACCAUGUGGGGAUGACGUGUUGUCUAAAUAACGAUGAUCAUGAUGAAGAAACUUCCCAAGAGGCAAACAAAAAAGAGCUCAAAAGAAACGGAGAAGUUCAAGAGAGCAAAAAUUCUGACAUUCACCAUGGCGAGACUAGCAGCGAGCAUGGCUUGAAAACUGAAAUGGAGAAGAUGGGAUAGAUAAUGCAUUUAUGAAAGAGAGAUCUGGGCUGUUGGAGGAGGAGAACAAGAAUCUUCAUGAUGAGCUCUUUGGUAAAUCUUGGAGAGCUCGAAGAAGCCCAGGCUGUGGGAGAUGACUAGACUUCUACUUGCCACACAUACGACUUCAGAGUGUCGAACAUACUCCUGUUCAGCUACUAUCAGAAGGGUCUCUCCGAUAUAUUUGAGGCAUUGUUUCUGGAUAUUAUCUAAACGGCAGAAAUACCGACUUCCCUUAACAAAGUCCAUCGAUUUUCCACGGCUUCUUCUUCUCCUAUGAUGUUCAGUCCUUCUUUUGAUAAGUGCUAUUGGAGCACACAUAUCAGCAGCAUGACAUGCUUCUUGAGAACUAGAAGCCAAAAAAGAGUUGUGAAGCAGUUGAUCAUGCUAAGAGAUUGAAGGAGCAUCCAAUGCUUUCGCUUAGUGGGUUUUCAUGUUGACAAUUUGGACUCUUUAUGGUUUAUGGACUUGGUGCUGGUUGCAUUUCUGAGAUCAGAAUCUUCGUGUUUGGUGUCGGCGACAGGAUGAGCUCUGGGAAUCUGGGCAAAUAAAAUCAAACUCAUGGGAGAAAGCUUUGGUUCUGCUUUCGGACGGAAGUGUUGUGACAGUUCCCACAAAAUAUCUUCUACCAACUAUUCCUCAGAUACUUGACUAAGUUGAUGAUCUUGCACAACUAAGUUAUUUGAACGAGCCUUCAGUGCUUCACAAUCUUCGGUAUAGAUAUUUACAAGAUAAUAUAUAUAGAAUGGCUGGCCUCUGUCAAUCUAUUUAAAAAUGUCCAGCUAUAAGGGGAUGAUAGAGAAAGAAGGUUUUGGUCACUAAUUAUGUUUAUGCUGUUGCUGAUGCAGCAUACCAUACAAUGAGCUGAAGUGGAUCAAAUCGGAUAUGACAUUAUGCAAGAGAGAUGUGGGUGUGCCUGCGUUGUGAAGCACCACCACCUGACAUCACAUGAUAUCUCAUCUUCUUGUGAGAGCUUGCUAUGGGGAAUGCGGUUUGAUUUUUCGUCUCCGCAAAACGGUGUUGAAGAUGAGAGUUUUAACUUUCGACAACUUGACAUCACAUGAUAUCUCAUCAUCUUCUUGUGAGAUAUUGAUUUGUAGUCAGCCAACACUAGGGAAAAAAGUGAAAAAAGAAACAUGGAAGGGGAGAAAAAAAGAAAAAAAAAACUGAAAAAAAAAGGAAAAAAAGAGAAAGCAGAUCUGUUGAAAAAAAAGAAAAGAAAAAAGAAAAGAAAAAAAGAAAAGAAAAAAGAAAAGAAAAAAAUUGUGUCACAGAUCUAGAAAAAAAUAGAGAGCAGAAUCAAAGAAAGAGUUUCAAGAAAAUAGUUCAUAAAAGUUGAUCGUGCUAUUUGAUUUAAGGAGGAUUCAGUGCUUUUGCUGAGAGGGUUUGAUUCAGUGGCCAAGUCUCUUUCUCAUCUCUCAAACAAUCAUGAGACUGCUCUUGAGGAAGCACACCAACUCCAUCGUUAAGGGAUCAUAGUUUUCUUAGUUGUGCAAGAUCAUCAACUUAACCAAAGAUGGACACAAUUCUGUAGAGAAGCUUCAUAAGAGGCAAACAAAAAAGAGCUCAAAAGAAACAGAGAGUGUCAAGAAAGCAAAAAAUGUUGGCACCUUAUCAUCAAAUUACUAGAAAAACAACAUUGUUUGAAGCUGUCUGAUUGAUUAUAGGAUUAAUGUUGUGUUUCCAUAGCUGACAAUGACCAUGGCCAGACGUGCAGCGAGCAAGGCUAGAGAGCUGAAGUGGAUCAGAUGGGAUAUGGCAUUUAUGCAAGAGUGAUCUGGGCUGUUGGAGGAAGAGAACAAGUAGCUUCGUGAUGGGCUCUUUGGUAAAGCUUGGAGAUCUCGAAGAAGCCAAGGCUGUGCUAGAUGACUGGACUUCUACUUGCUACACAUACGACUUCAGAGUGCCGGACAUACUGCUAACGGGAUACUGUCAGAAGGGUCUCCUCGAUAAAUCCGAGGCUCUGCUUCGGGAUAUUACCAAAAGGGGAUAAAUACCGACUUCCCUUCCCAAAGGCCAUCGAUUUUCCUAGGUUUCUGGAGCACUCUUAUCAGCCGCAUGACAUGAUUGUUGAGAACAAGAAGCCAAAAAAGAGUUCUGAAGCAGUUGAUUAUGCUAAGAGAUUGGAGGAGAAUUCAAUGAUUUUGCUUAGGGGGUUAUCAUGAUGACCAUUUGGACUCUUUAUGGUUUAUGGACUUAGUGCUGGUUGCAUUACCUGAGAUUAGGUUAUGACAGUUCCCACAAUAAACCUUCUACCAUCUGUUCCUCAGAUGGUUGACUCAGAUUCAUUUAAAAUGUCCAGCUAUAUGGGGAUGACGCAGCAUUCCAUGCAGUGGUAGCAGAGCUGAAGUGGAUCAGAUCGGAUAUGACAUUAUGCAAGAGAGAUCUGUGUGUGCCUGAAUUGUGAAGUACCACCACCUGACAUCACAUGAUAUCUCAUCUUCUUAUGAGAGCUUGCUAUGGGGAAUGCGGUUUGAUUUUUCGUCUCUCCAGAAAGAUGUUGAAGAUGAGAGUUUCAACUUUCGACAACCUGACAUCACAUGAUAUCUCAUCUUCUUGUGGAUAUUGAUUGUAGUCAGCCAACAAUAGCGCAGAAAGUGAAAAAUGAAACAUGGAAGGGGUAGAAUGAGAGCAAAAUGAGGAAAAAAAGAAAAAAAGAAAAAGAAAAAGAAGAAAAAAAAGAGAACGCAGAUCUGUUGAAAAAAAAGAAAAGAAAAAAAGAAAAAAUUGUGUCACAGAUCUAGAAAAAAAAUAGAGAGCAGAAUCAAAGACAGAGUUCCAAGAAAACAGUUCAUAAGCAUUGAUCGUGCUAAUUGAUUUAAGGAGGAUUCAGUGUUUUUGCUGAGAGGGUUUGAUUCAGUGGCCAAGUCACUUUCUCAUCUCUCAAACAAACUUGAGACUGCUCUUGAGGUAGCACACCAAGUCCACCGUUAAGGAAUCAUAGUGUUCUUAGUUGUGCAAGAUCAUCAACUUAGCCAAAGAAGGAGAAAAUUCUGUAGAGAAGCUUCACAAGAGGCAAACAAAAAAGAGCUCAAAAGAAACAGAGAGUGUCAAGAAAGCAAAAAAUCUGACAAAGUACAUGGCUAGACGAGCAGCUAGCAAGGCUAGAGAGCUGAAGUGGAUCAGAUGGGAUAUGGCAUUUAAGCAAGAGCGGUCUGGGCUGUUGGAGGAAGAGAACAAGAAGCUUCGUGAUGGGCUCUUUGGUAAAGCUUGGAGAUCUCGAAGAAGCAAGGCUGUGCUAGAUGACUGGACUUCUACUUGCCACACAUACGACUUUGCCGAACAUACUGCUGACGGGAUACUGUCAAAAGGGUCACCCUGAUAAAUCCGAGGCUCAGCUUCGGGAUAUUACCAAGAGGGGAUAAAUUCCGACAUCCCUUUCCAAAAGCCAUCGAUCUUCCACGACAUCUUCUUCUGGAGCACUCUUAUCAGCUGCAUGCCAUGAUUGUUGAGAACAAGAAGCCAAAAAAGAGUUGUGAAGCAGUUGAUCAUGCUAAGAGAUUGGAGGAGGAUUCAAUGAUUUUGCUUAGAGGGUUAUCAUGAUGUCCAUUUGGACUCUUUAUGGUUUAUGGACUUGGUUCAGGUUGCAUUACCUGAGAUUAGGUUGAUAAACCUUCUACCAACUGUUCCUCAGAUAGUUGUCUCAGAUGAUGAUCUUGCACAACUAAGUUAUUUGAACGAGCCUUCAGUUCUUCACAAUCUUCUGUGUAGAUAUUUACAAGAAAAUACACACUCCAUAGAAUGGCAGGCCCUGUAUUACUUUCUGUCAAUUCAUUUAAAAAUGUCCAGCUAUAUGGGGAUGACGCAGCAUUCCAUGCAAUGGUAGCAGAGCUGAAGUGGAUCAGAUCGGAUAUGACAUUAUGCAACAGAGAUGUGGGUGUGCCUGCAUUUGGAAGUACCACCACCUGACAUCACAUGAUAUCUCAUCUUCUUAUGAGAGCUUGCUAUGGGGAAUGCGGUUUGAUUUUUCCUCUCCGCAAAAAGGUGUUGAAGAUGAGAGUUUCAACUUUCGACAACCUGACUUCAGAUGAUAUCUCAUCUUCUUGUGGAUAUUGAUUGUAGUCAGCCAACAAUAGGGUCUAAGAGUGAAAAAAGAAACAUGGAAGGGGUAGAAUAAGAGGAAAAUGAGGAGAAAAAAGGAAAAAAAAAUGAAAAAUAAGAAAAAAAGAGAAAGCAGAUCUGUUGAAAAAUAAAAAGAAAAGAAAAAAAGAAAAGAAAAAAAGAAAAAAUUGUGUCACAGAUCUAGAAAAAAUAUAGAGAGCAGAAUCAAAGAAAGAGUUCCAAGAAAAUAGUUCAUAAGCAGUUGAUCGUGCUAAGUGAUUUAAGGAGGAUUCAGUGCUUUUGCUGAGAGGGUUUGAUUCAGUGGCCAAGUCUCUUUCUCAUCUCUCAACAAUCAUGAGACUGCUUUUGAGGAAGCACACCAACUCCAUCGUUAAGGGAUCAUAGUUUUCUUAGUUGUGCAAGAUCAUCAAUUUAACCAAAGAUGGAGAAAAUUCUGUAGAGAAAGUUCACAAGAGGCAAACAAAAAAGAGCUCAAAAGAAACAGAGAGUGUCAAGAAAGCAAAAAAUCUGACAAUGACAUGGCAAGACGAGCAGCGAGCAAGGCUAGAGAUCUGAAGUGGAUCAGAUGGGAUAUGGCAUUUAUGCAACAGAGAUCUGGGCUGUUGGAGGAAGAGAACAUGAAGCUUCGUGAUGGGCACCUUGGUAAAGCUUGGAGAUCUCGAAGAAGCUAAGGCUGUGCUAGAUGACUGGACUUCUACUUGCCACACAUACGACUUCAGAGUGCCGAACAUACUGCUGAUGGGAUAUUGUUAUAAGGGACUCCCCAAUAAAUUCGAGGCUCAGCUUUGGGAUAUUACCGAAAGGGGAUAAAUACCGACUUUCCUUCCCAAAGGCCAUUGAUUUUCCACGGCUUCUGGAACACUCUUAUCAGCCGCAUGACAUGAUUCUUGAGAACAAGAAGCCAAAAGAGUGUUGUGAAGCAGUUGAUCAUGCUAAGAGAUUGGAGGAGGAUCCAAUGCUUUUGCUUAGAGGGUUAUCAUGCUGUCCAUUUGGAUCUUUAUGGUUUAUGGACUUGGUGCUGGUUGCAUUACCUGAGAUUAGUUCCUACAAUAAACCUUCUACCAAACUAUUCCUCGGAUAAUUGACUAAGAUGACGUUCUUGCACAACCAAGUUAUUUGAACGAGCCUUCAGUUCUUCACAAUCUUCAGGAUAGAUAUUUACAAGAUAAUACAUACUCCAUAGAAUGGCAGGCCUUUUAUUACUUUCUGUCAAUCCGGCAAUAUGUCAAUCCAUUUAAAAAUUUCCAGCUAUAUGGGGAUGAUGCAGCAUACCAUGCAUUGGUAGCAGAGCUGAAGUGGAUCAUAUCGGACAUGACAUUAUGCAAGAGAGAUGUGGGUGUGCCUGCAUUGUGGAGUACCACCACUUGACAUCACAUGAUAUGUCAUCUCCUUACGAGAGCUUGCUAUGGGGAAUGCAGUUUGAUUUUUCGUCUCCACAAAAAGGUGUGAUAUCACAUGAUAUCUCAUCUUCUUGUGUGAUAUUGAUUGUAGUCAGCCAGCACUUGGGCAGAAAGUGGGGAGAAAAAAGGAAAAAAAAAAGAAAAAGAAGAAAAAAAGAGAUAGCAGAUCUGUGGAAAAAAAAAAGAAAAAAUUGGUCUCACAGAUCUAGAAAAAAAAUAGAGUGAUCCACGAAAAUGUGAAGCAAAAAAUAGCCCGAAUAAGCUGUGGAAUACUAUGUUAUCCCCUUGUUUGAACCAUGUGGGGAUGAAGUGUUGUCUAAAUAACGAUGAUCAUGAUGAAGAAUCUUCCCAUGAGGCAAACAAAAAGAGCCUAAAAAAAACGGAGUAGUUCAAGAGAGCAAAAAUUCUGACAUUCACCAUGGCGAGACGAGCAGCGAGCAUGGCUUGAAAACUGAAGUGAAGAAGAUGGGAUAGAUAAUGCAUUUAUGCAAGAGAGAUCUGGGCUGUUGGAGGAAGAGAAUAAGAAGCUUCGUGAUGGGCUCUUUGGUAAAGCUUGGAGAUCUCGAAGAAGCCAAGGCUUUGCUAGAUGACUUUACUUCUACUUGCCACACAUACGACUUCAGAGUGCCGAACAUACUGCUGAUGGGAUACUGUCAUAAGGGUCUCCCCGAUAAAUCCGAGGCUCGGCUUCGGGAUAUUAACAACAGGGGAUAAAUACUGACUUCCCUUCCCAAAAGCCAUCGAUCUUCUACAGCAUCUUCUUCUUCUUCUGGAGCACUCUAAUCAGCUGCUUGCAAUGAUUGUUGUGAACAAGAAGCCAAAAAAGAGUUGUGAAGCAGUUGAUCAUGCGAAGAGAUUGGAGGAGGAUUCAAUGAUUUUGCAAAAGAAAAAAAGAGAGAUAGCAAGAUCUGUGGAAAAAAAAAAGAAAAGAAAAAAUUGGUCUCACAGAUCUAGAAUAAAAUAGAGUGAUCCACGAAAAUGUGAA